This 30-nucleotide non-coding RNA is filed under the name Homo sapiens (human). The record is from RNAcentral. Lineage: Eukaryota; Metazoa; Chordata; Mammalia; Primates; Hominidae.
UGGUGUUAAUCCUGCAAGUGUGCAGAGUGA